This 539-nucleotide ribosomal RNA is filed under the name Exiguobacterium sp. L48B. RNAcentral's name for it is "bacterial SSU rRNA". It matches the Rfam family "Bacterial small subunit ribosomal RNA", at positions 11 to 524 of the family's 1533-position model. Lineage: Bacteria; Bacillati; Bacillota; Bacilli; Caryophanales. The record is from RNAcentral.
AUUUGAUCUGGCUCAGACGACGCUGGCGGCGUGCCUAAUACAUGCAAGUCGAGCGCAGGAAACUGACGGAACUCUUCGGAGGGAAGGCAGCGGAAUGAGCGGCGGACGGGUGAGUAACACGUAAGGAACCUGCCUCAAGGAUUGGGAUAACUCCGAGAAAUCGGAGCUAAUACCGGAUAGUUCAUCGGACCGCAUGGUCCGUUGAUGAAAGGCGCUCCGGCGUCACCUUGAGAUGGCCUUGCGGUGCAUUAGCUAGUUGGUGGGGUAACGGCCCACCAAGGCGACGAUGCAUAGCCGACCUGAGAGGGUGAUCGGCCACACUGGGACUGAGACACGGCCCAGACUCCUACGGGAGGCAGCAGUAGGGAAUCUUCCACAAUGGACGAAAGUCUGAUGGAGCAACGCCGCGUGAGUGAUGAAGGUUUUCGGAUCGUAAAACUCUGUUGUAAGGGAAGAACACGUACGAGAGGGAAUGCUCGUACCUUGACGGUACCUUACGAGAAAGCCACGGCUAACUACGUGCCAGCCGCCGCGGUAAU